UUUGUCAAAGGCAAACUCGUUGCGAAACGAGGACGCAAAGCUAUGGGUCUCAUUGGAAGACUGCCAAGCUGCCAAAG
Molecule: non-coding RNA, 77 nt
Organism: Halobacteroidaceae bacterium
Lineage: Bacteria; Bacillati; Bacillota; Clostridia; Halanaerobiales; Halobacteroidaceae
Source: Rfam